This 739-nucleotide ribosomal RNA is filed under the name Rothia mucilaginosa. RNAcentral's name for it is "bacterial SSU rRNA". It matches the Rfam family "Bacterial small subunit ribosomal RNA", at positions 28 to 776 of the family's 1533-position model. Lineage: Bacteria; Bacillati; Actinomycetota; Actinomycetes; Micrococcales; Micrococcaceae. The record is from RNAcentral.
GACGAACGCGGCGGCGUGCUUAACACAUGCAAGUCGAACGAUGAAGCCUAGCUGCUAGGUGGAUUAGUGGCGAACGGGUGAGUAAUACGUGAGUAACCUACCUUUAACUAUGGGAUAAGCCUGGGAAACUGGGUCUAAUACCGGAUACGACCAAUCUCCGCCUGGGGUGUUGGUGGACAGCGUUAUGUAGUGGUUAUAGAUGGGCUCACGGCCUAUCAGCUUGUUGGUGAGGUAACGGCUCACCAAGGCGACGACGGGUAGCCGGCCUGAGAGGGUGACCGGCCACACUGGGACUGAGACACGGCCCAGACUCCUACGGGAGGCAGCAGUGGGGAAUAUUGCACAAUGGGCGCAAGCCUGAUGCAGCGACGCCGCGUGAGGGAUGACGGCCUUCGGGUUGUAAACCUCUGUUAGCAGGGAAGAAGAGAAAUUGACGGUACCUGCAGAGAAAGCGCCGGCUAACUACGUGCCAGCAGCCGCGGUAAUACGUAGGGCGCGAGCGUUGUCCGGAAUUAUUGGGCGUAAAGAGCUUGUAGGCGGUUUGUCGCGUCUGCUGUGAAAGGCCGGGGCUUAACCCCGUGUAUUGCAGUGGGUACGGGCAGACUAGAGUGCAGUAGGGGAGACUGGAAUUCCUGGUGUAGCGGUGGAAUGCGCAGAUAUCAGGAGGAACACCGAUGGCGAAGGCAGGUCUCUGGGCUGUAACUGACGCUGAGAAGCGAAAGCAUGGGGAGCGAACAGG